This 480-nucleotide ribosomal RNA is filed under the name uncultured bacterium. RNAcentral describes it as "SSU rRNA". It matches the Rfam family "Bacterial small subunit ribosomal RNA", at positions 26 to 521 of the family's 1533-position model. The record is from RNAcentral.
AGGACGAACGCUGGCGGCGUGCCUAACACAUGCAAGUCGAACGAGGUCCAACCGGUGGCAACACUGGUGAAGACCGAGUGGCGAACGGGUGAGUAACACGUGAGCAACCUGCCUCGAAGACUGGGAUAACCCCGGGAAACCGGAGCUAAUACCGGAUACCCCCACCGGGUCGCAUGGCCUGGUGAGGAAAUGGAUUCCGCUUUGAGAGGGGCUCGCGGCCUAUCAGCUUGAUGGUGGGGUAAUGGCCUACCAUGGCACCGACGGGUAGCUGGUCUGAGAGGACGAUCAGCCACACUGGGACUGAGACACGGCCCAGACUCCUACGGGAGGCAGCAGUGGGGAAUCUUGCGCAAUGGGCGAAAGCCUGACGCAGCAACGCCGCGUGUGGGACGAAGGCCUUCUGGGUUGUAAACCACUUUCAGCAGGGACGAUUGUGACGGUACCUGCAGAGAGCCCGCAACUACGCGCAGCAGCCGCGGU